GGGGGCGUAGCUCAGAUCGUAAAGCGCUCGCUGUGCAUGCGAGAGGUACGGGGAUCGAUACCCCACGCCACCA
Molecule: transfer RNA, 73 nt
Filed under: Trichonephila inaurata madagascariensis
Lineage: Eukaryota; Metazoa; Arthropoda; Arachnida; Araneae; Nephilidae
Description: tRNA-Ala
Source: RNAcentral